AGGGUUAUAUUUAAUAAUAAUAUUUGAUUUGCAAUCAAAAGGUAUCUCUUUAGAUUAAUCUUA
Molecule: transfer RNA, 63 nt
Filed under: Aconurella sibirica
Lineage: Eukaryota; Metazoa; Arthropoda; Insecta; Hemiptera; Cicadellidae
Description: tRNA-Ala
Source: RNAcentral